AUGGGCUGUGCAUCGUCAAAGCAGUUCAAACGAGCUCCUCGGCAUGAGGAUGCUGCUCUUCUGGCCAAAGAGACCACAUUUUCUUUGGAUGAAGUGAAGGCCCUCUACGAGUUGUUUGAAAAGAUUAGCUAUUCUAUAUUCAAGGAUGGGCUCAUCCACAAGGAGGAGUUCCAACUUGCUCUCUUCAGGAACAGCAAUCGGAAAAACCUUUUUGCCGAUCGGAUAUUUGAUCUGUUCGAUCUGAAGCGAAAUGGUGUGAUUGAAUUUGACGAGUUUGUUCGGUCCCUCCAAAUUUUUCACCCGGAUACUCCCAUGGCAGACAAGAUUGCAUUUGCAUUCAGACUAUAUGACCUGCGAGGCACCGGCAGCAUUGAACGUGAAGAGUUGAAGGAGAUGGUGCUUGCAAUCCUGAGUGAAUCAGACCUACUUCUUUCUGACGACGCUGUCGAACAGAUGGUUGAUCAGACAUUCACAGAGGCAGACCUGAACGGCGACGGGAGGAUAGAUCCCGACGAAUGGAAAGCAUUGACAAGCACGAAUCCAGCCUUGCUGAAGUACAUGACUCUCCCAUACCUGAAGGACAUGACCAUGUCAUCGUUCCCCAGCUUUAUUCUCUACCCUGGAACUGGCGAUGAAGAGUUGUACUAG
RNAcentral lists this ribosomal RNA (648 nucleotides) under Triticum aestivum (bread wheat). RNAcentral's name for it is "partial small subunit ribosomal RNA". Lineage: Eukaryota; Viridiplantae; Streptophyta; Magnoliopsida; Poales; Poaceae. The record is from RNAcentral.